Molecule: long non-coding RNA, 1755 nt
Filed under: Arabidopsis thaliana (thale cress)
Lineage: Eukaryota; Viridiplantae; Streptophyta; Magnoliopsida; Brassicales; Brassicaceae
Description: potential natural antisense gene, locus overlaps with AT3G51070 (AT3G51075)
Source: RNAcentral
AGAAGUUUCUGGUCUCCAGAAUCCUUUUUGUGCACUUAAGAUUCCUUCUUGGUGUUUGGAGAAAGUUAAGUGAACAUCCCAGUGCAGUGACUUCAACAUGUUCUCAACUUCUCUUAUCACAUUUGAUUCGUCACGAACUAUUAGUUUACCUCCUGGUCUUACUAUUCUAUCCACUUCUGCCAUUACUGGAACAAGAUUGCACCUUUCAAAACAAAACAAAACAAGAGACUUAUUGUUGAUGAAACGUUACCAAAAGUGUUCAUAAUCUGUAGUGAAAUCUCGAGGAGCUGGUUUCCCAUAUAUCCCCAUUUGAGAGCUGUUUAACCAGUAAGGCGGUGUUUGAAGCCGACGGGGCCAAUUCACGGGCCACUUGCUUCCUCUCUCGACCACAUUGGUUUCUGGUAGAUUGCAGCACCAAUACCAUUGAGUUUAUCCUUGUUGAUUGUCACAAGUUCCCAGCACAAGGAUUUUGUCAACGCGGACAUUUCUACAUCACUCAAAACAUCUCAGGUUCAGUGAAACAAACAAAAGAAGGAGGAACUCUAGUUAAGUUCAAGCAUUUUACUUUAGUCAUUACCUUUCCAGAUUUGAACAUCUUCUUCAAGCUUCUGGUAGACUGGUGUUGCUGACCAGACAAAAUAACCUCCAGGCCUAAGCAUCCGAUUAAGUUCCAGAAGAAGCAUACCACCCUCAUUAUGCCAUGGGACUCUACAACGUGCACAGUGGAUAAGAUCAAACACUCUGCUCGGGAAUGGCAGUCGCUUAGAGCCCAUAACUGCUGAGAUGGCUGGAAUCUUUCUUUCAAGAGCAAACUGGACUUGAGCCUCGUGUUCAUCUUUUGGUGCAAGAGACAUUGCUAUAACAUCUCUUUCAAAGAGGAAACCGCCAAAGCUCGCCACUCCACAUCCAACAUCCAAUAUGACCCGAUUUUAACACUAUACUGAAAUCAAGAAAUGAGUGUUCACCUGCUGAAGAAAAUCGAUAUAAUGAAGAGCUCCAUGGAUGAACUGUGUUCCACCACCAGGAAACGUCAAGAACUCGCCAGUGACCUUCACCCAGUUCUGAUGUCCUUUUACCUCAGCUAGCUUUGUGUGUGGGACAUUGUGGUACCAUAUCUACUAGAUCACAUACUUUACGGCAUCGUCUGGAAGCUUUCCCGGAUUGUCUUCAAAUGCCUGUUGCUCAUCAGACUCUUGUUUCGUGGGUUCGGGCUCAUCAUUACCGUUUGAAGAGGCAGACACAUCACUCCUCUCUGUCUCUGCGACAGCCGCUCGAGUGGAGCCUUGUGUGAUCUGCGGUGGAAUAACGGAAUUGGAAGAAAGCAUCCACACCCCGAAGACACACAGAGCCACAAAGAUGACCAUUGUAAUGGUCGACGCAUAGGACGACGUCGAAGUGCGUUUGUUGCCACGUCCCCUCCCGAAGGCCAUCUUUACGGUCUUGCGUAUAGUACUAGUUAUGGAGAAAGAAGAAGAAGAAAAAUGAAGGAGUAAAAUGGGAGUUGAAGGAAGUAAAAAUAGAAGAAAAAGAAGAGAAAGAGAGGUUGUGAAGAGACAAGACUGGAUCAAAGAUCCUAUAGAGUCGGAUAUGGGACUUUCAAUUUCGUGUCUCUAAAUUUAGUUAUGGUCUCUGUGUUUCAUAUUUUGUUGUCCAUGAAAAAUUAGUGCCAUGUAAUCCAAUGUUAACUUGUAACGCCUAGUCAAGGAUAUAUUAAACAUGGCAAGCUUGUGCUUUUUUGGUAUAAUGUAUUCGAAG